Long non-coding RNA from Aptenodytes forsteri (emperor penguin), 782 nucleotides. RefSeq lists it as uncharacterized. The record is from RefSeq and is a predicted model, not a curated record. NCBI's taxonomy places the organism in Eukaryota, Metazoa, Chordata, Aves, Sphenisciformes, Spheniscidae. The transcript is spliced from 3 exons.
AGGCUGUCCACCCAUCCUUACUGCACAGAUACAUACUGUGAGGUGUAAACGCCACAACUGGUACUGUUAACUCAGAGGGAAAGAAAGUCUGACAGAUAGUCUGAGAAUCAUCCCACCUGCUGCCUACCUGAACCAAGAACCAGACCCUGGAGCAGGACUGUGCCGGUACUAUUUGGCUGCAGAUCUACUGGGAUCCUGGUAUUGAGAGAGACCUAACAGGUAAGGCUAUCAGAAAAGCCCUCCUUCAAUCAAGCUUCCCUCUUCUCAUUCAAAUUCAGAUGUCUUAAGAAAAUACAGAGGAAUUUCCUUUGGCAGGAAUACUGGAAGAAAACAAACAAGAAUAGUGUAAAAUAGGAUUGGCACAGCUGCCCUUGGGCUGGGGUUUUUUAUGUGUUUCUGAUUAUUUUUCUGGUUUUGUUCUCCACUUCAGAAUCUUUCUUUUCUGCAUGUCUUCUGCAUUCAGUCUUGUCCAUACUGGAGUGGUAGAGCAAGAGGGCUUGUCUGCAGCUGAAGUUUUACUGCUUUAUUCUGCUGGCGUAGUUAAGGCAAAUCCUCCACCAUCUCUUGCUGCUUCGUAAUGCAGACUGUGUUAUAUCAGUAAGAAGGUGCUUGUACAGAUACUUAUGAUGCUCUGUAAAGCAAACUGACAUCUAUUAUUUGAUGCCAUAUUUAUCCAGUAAAACUGUGCACUAAGACUUCUAGUGAUAUAAUUACUUAAUUUUAAAAACCAUAUUUCAAAUAAAACAAUUGUAUACUGGGUAAAUGUUAAGAGCAGAAGAGAU